AUGGUAUGUGAAAUUUACAUCAAAUGGUUCAGGAGCUGGCACCUCCUCAGCAUGGGAAGGCCACGUGUGACGACAUUGCUGUUGAGGAGAACAGUGGCGAGGGAGGCUGGGGAAAACAAAAUCAGGGUGUGGAAUUGUGUUUACUCUAGGUAUGUUUUCACAGCUUCACAUGUCCAUCUCAAUUCCUACCCAUCUACCCUUAAUCUUUCUCUUGAUUCUAUACAGGUUAGGUCAAUGUGGGUUUAUACCUUGGUACAAAACUUUGCGAGGACUCAUCUUCUUGGGAUGCAAAAUGGGUAA
RNAcentral lists this ribosomal RNA (300 nucleotides) under Triticum aestivum (bread wheat). RNAcentral's name for it is "partial small subunit ribosomal RNA". The record is from RNAcentral. Lineage: Eukaryota; Viridiplantae; Streptophyta; Magnoliopsida; Poales; Poaceae.